GUUGCCCCAGCAAGACGUUCGUUAUAGCGCUGAUGCGGCGGGAACGUAAUAAGGGAAGACAAUGUCGAGAGGGAAGCCCUUCAGAGUUAUCUCGUAGCCGGUCUCCAGGCGCCACCACAGGGCGCGGCUAUCUUCCCUCAGGCAUAUACAGUGGUACCUCUAGUUCACAGGCAACCCUCCCAUAAAGCUUCUUUGAAGGCAGUAGACCACAAACCUUGGGGUGGGGGGAAUUAACCUGGGGGAGACCUGACCUAUUAUCUCUAGAACCACAUGUACCUCACAACUGACUUUUUUCUAUGGGAAAAUUAAGCCCAUGUUUAUAUGCUUGCACAAAGGAAAGUGAAUGUUUCAGUAAAUGGAAAGUUAAAUCAAGACUCCAGACAAGCUAGUAAAGGAACAAACUUUAUUCAAAACAUCGAAGUCAUACAUUAAAAGGCAUUAAAAGAGGGAGCUUGGAAAAUAUGUACAGGAUAGCAAGGAAGGAGUUGGGAUGCUAAUCUGG
This is a non-coding RNA of Podarcis lilfordi (Lilford's wall lizard), 502 nucleotides long. The record is from the annotation of a GenBank genome assembly. Lineage: Eukaryota; Metazoa; Chordata; Lepidosauria; Squamata; Lacertidae.